GGGGGCGAGCGUAAGCGGCUCUCGCUGAAGGAUGGGCCUGCGGCUGAUUAGCUAGUUGGUGGGGUAACGGCCUACCAAGGCAACGAUCAGUAGCCGACCUGAGAGGGUGACCGGCCACACUGGGACUGAGACACGGCCCAGACUCCUACGGGAGGCAGCAGUGGGGAAUAUUGCGCAAUGGGCGAAAGCCUGACGCAGCGACGCCGCGUGGGUGAUGAAGGCCUUCGGGUCGUAAAACCCUGUCGGGUGGAACGAAUCUCCGCCCCCUAAAUAGGGGGGUGGAUUGACGGUACCACCGAAGGAAGCCCCGGCUAACUACGUGCCAGCAGCCGCGGUAAUACGUAGGGGGCGAGCGUUGUUCGGAUUUACUGGGCGUAAAGAGCGCGUAGGUGGUUCGAUCAGUCGGAGGUGAAAGCCCUCGGCUCAACCGAGGAUCCGCGUCCGAUACUGUCGAACUUGAGUGCAGGAGAGGAGAGCGGAAUUCCCAGUGUAGCGGUGAAAUCGUAGAUAUUGGGAGGAACACCGGUGGCGAAGGCGGCUCUCUGGACUGCUACUGACACUGAGGCGCGAAAGCUAGGGGAGCAAACGGGAUUAGAUACCCCGGUAGUCCUAGCCGUAAACGAUGGGCACUAGGUGUGGGAGGUAUCGACCCCUUCCGUGCCGCAGCUAACGCAUUAAGUGCCCCGCCUGGGGAGUACGGCCGCAAGGUUGAAACUCAAAGGAAUUGACGGGGGCCCGCACAAGCGGUGGAGCAUGUGGUUUAAUUCGACGCAACGCGAAGAACCUUACCAGGGCUUGACAUCCCGCGAACUCCUCCGAAAGGAGGGGGUGCCCGCAAGGGAGCGCGGAGACAGGUGGUGCAUGGCUGUCGUCAGCUCGUGUCGUGAGAUGUUGGGUUAAGUCCCGCAACGAGCGCAACCCUCACCCCUUGUUGCCAUCAGGUAAUGCUGGGCACUCUAGGGGAACUGCCCCGGUCAACGGGGAGGAAGGCGGGGAUGACGUCAAGUCAUCAUGCCCCUUACGCCCUGGGCUACACACGUGCUACAAUGGCCGGUACAAAGGGAUGCAAGACCGCGAGGUGGAGCUAAACCCAAAAAGCCGGUCUAAGUUCAGAUUGGAGUCUGCAACCCGACUCCAUGAAGGAGGAAUCGCUAGUAAUCGCGCAUCAGCACGGCGCGGUGAAUACGUUCCCGGGCCUUGUACACACCGCCCGUCACACCACGAAAGCCAGUUGUACUCGAAGUCGCCGAACUAACCCGCAAGGGAG
RNAcentral lists this ribosomal RNA (1267 nucleotides) under metagenome. RNAcentral's name for it is "bacterial SSU rRNA". It matches the Rfam family "Bacterial small subunit ribosomal RNA", at positions 192 to 1449 of the family's 1533-position model. The record is from RNAcentral.